AGCUGUGUAGACCCUUAGGAGCUUGUCAUGCGGUAAAAAUCAAGAUUCACUUGCACGUUCACUCAUACAUGCUGCUUCUACUCCAGAAGUACGCAUCCACAUACAUCCACUCAUUUCCAUCUCCAGAUUCACCCAAAAUUAUUCUACUCCUAUCCAGGAGAGAAUAGCCAAGAACAUUAUCCUAUCCCUAUUAUUCCCCGUGAAAUAAAUGCUCGAGAUAUUUUGGUUACUACCACUUGCUACAUU
RNAcentral lists this long non-coding RNA (246 nucleotides) under Sorghum bicolor (sorghum). Its description in RNAcentral is "long non-coding RNA (SBIC_LNC008194)". The record is from RNAcentral. Lineage: Eukaryota; Viridiplantae; Streptophyta; Magnoliopsida; Poales; Poaceae.